ACCAGCAUCAAGAAGCUCCGAGAGGAAAACCAGCUCACAACAUUUAUUGAGGGUAAAGGGGUUAUCCUAUUGAUGCCUGCUAACUCCCAACUUGUCCUGGCAAGGACACCUGAAGCCAGUCCUAAUAAACUGCUGGAAUAUCUCCUUAAAGCUUGGGAAAAAUGAUGCCUACAGCAAAUGAAGUGGAGAUGUUGCAAAUUCCUUGGCAGAGGAAUCGGCGAAAGGCUUAGAAAGGUGUGAUGAUGGUGCACUUUUGUGCCAAUAAAGAAUAUCAAAGAAGAAUCAUUUAUCCAGAAUUUGUCAGAAUCUUCCUCCAGCACUGUGGAAAGAGAAUCCACUCCCCUCAUUGGCUGACAAGCGUAUGUCAGCCUGCUCAGCCAUGAGCUCAUCUGGAACAUUUCAGAAGUCUGCCCCUUCUGAGAUGCCACAACCCCUUUGCCUUGGUGGGAGAGUGACAACAAUGUGCCUUGUGCCGACGGAAGGCCGGAGCACCAAACCCAAAGACAGGCUGAGGAAAACACACGUGGAAAGCCAUGGUGUGUGGCGAACUCGGCCAACCACCUCACAAUUGAUCAGAGUGUGUCCGGAUGUGGCGUGCACCGUGCAGAGAGUCAACACGUGCCGAAGGCAACAGGGCUGCUCAGAAAGCAAAAUGUCGCCACCUCUUUCCAGUGACGUCCAGAGACUGGCGUCUGUAAUGUUACCGAGAC
Molecule: long non-coding RNA, 710 nt
Organism: Pteropus alecto (black flying fox)
Lineage: Eukaryota; Metazoa; Chordata; Mammalia; Chiroptera; Pteropodidae
Exons: 4
Source: RefSeq, a predicted model, not a curated record